GCAUAUCAAUAAGCGGAGGAAAAGAAACCAACAGGGAUUGCCUCAGUAACGGCGAGUGAAGCGGCAAGAGCUCAAAUUUGAAAUCUGGCACCUUUGGUGCCCGAGUUGUAAUUUGGAGAGGAUACUUUGGGCGUGGUCACGGUGUAAGUUCCUUGGAACAGGGCGUCAUAGAGGGUGAGAAUCCCGUCUUGAACCGUCGGCCCACGCCCAUGUGAAGUUCCUUCAACGAGUCGAGUUGUUUGGGAAUGCAGCUCUAAGUGGGUGGUAAAUUUCAUCUAAAGCUAAAUAUUGGCUGGAGACCGAUAGCGAACAAGUAGAGUGAUCGAAAGGUUAAAAGCACCUUGAAAAGGGAGUUAAAUAGCACGUGAAAUUGUUGAAAGGGAAGCGCUUGCAAUCAGACUCGGUCGCGGGGGCUCAGCGGGCAUGCGUGCCUGUGUACUCCCCCGCGUUCGGGCCAGCAUCAGUUCGGGCGACCGGUCAAAGGCCCUUGGAAUGUAUCAUCCUCCGGGAUGCCUUAUAGCCAAGGGUGCAAUGCGGUCAGUCGGGACUGAGGAACGCGCUUCGGCACGGAUGCUGGCGUAAUGGUUGUAAGCGACCCGUCUUGAAACACGGACC
Molecule: ribosomal RNA, 615 nt
Filed under: Aphanoascella galapagosensis
Lineage: Eukaryota; Fungi; Ascomycota; Eurotiomycetes; Onygenales; Onygenaceae
Description: eukaryotic LSU rRNA
Rfam family: Eukaryotic large subunit ribosomal RNA
Source: RNAcentral